UACGUAGGGGGCAAGCGUUGUCCGGAUUUAUUGGGCGUAAAGCGCGUGUAGGCGGCUAGGUAGGUCCGCUGUGAAAACUUGAGGCUCAACCUCAAGAGGUCGGUGGAAACCAUCUAGCUAGAGUCCGGAAGAGGAGACUGGAAUUCCUGGUGUAGCGGUGAAAUGCGCAGAUAUCAGGAAGAACACCCGUGGCGAAGGCGGGUCUCUGGGACGGUACUGACGCUGAGACGCGAAAGCGUGGGGAGCGAACAGG
This 253-nucleotide ribosomal RNA is filed under the name uncultured bacterium. RNAcentral's name for it is "partial 16S ribosomal RNA". It matches the Rfam family "Bacterial small subunit ribosomal RNA", at positions 524 to 776 of the family's 1533-position model. The record is from RNAcentral.